Ictalurus punctatus (channel catfish) is the source of this 2057-nucleotide long non-coding RNA. The record is from Ensembl. NCBI's taxonomy places the organism in Eukaryota, Metazoa, Chordata, Actinopteri, Siluriformes, Ictaluridae.
CCUAAAUUGAGAAAAUUAUUAUAAAUUAUCCAACAAAAAUAAAAAUAAAAAACACCUCUCUAAUCUCACUGAAAGGACGUUGUUAUGGCGUGUAAAUAAAAUUAUACUUCAAAAGCAACGAUUAAAAUAAAACAAACUCGCCUAAACACUUCGCUCCAUCAGUGGCUCUGAGCUCUGUGACAGCGCCUGCUCUCAAUCCUGCGUUCAUCCCAUACAUCUCUUAAUCCCAUUCAGAAUUCUAUUCAAUGCAGAGCUCUUUUAGAGCUUUUUUUUUUUUUUUUUCUUUUUUUUUUAACAAUUCCAGGAUCACUAAUGGGAGGGAAGAGGAAAUCAUUUAUCAUCACUUGUCACCAGGAUGGACAAGGGAAAGAGGCUGAAUGCAGGAGAGACAAAAGUGGAGGACAACAGGAGCUAUUUAUAUUUGAUAUGCUCCUGUAUAGAUCAGGAAAAACGUGCAAAGAGACACGUCUAGGGGGAAUUACGCAUGCAGGUGAGUCGGUGUGUUAAUGCGGUCAGUACAUGAUGAAGAUGAAACACGUCACACUCACAGAAAACACAAAGCAUGCAUGCUGUAUCUGAUGCACAGAAAUACUGACAUACUGAUUUAUUACUACGUGCAAUAAAGACAGCCUUUACUGACGCUCACCUACACCUUCUCUACAGGGUCAGGAACAGUUCCUGAGGUUUCUAUUGUUCGAAUAGACAAAAAGUGUCCAGUGUGUACAAUUCAUACUUAUUCUAAUGAGUAAGAGUGAUUUACAGUUAAAGCUAUGAGCAGUAACCCUGCUCCUGACCUUAACCAGGACCACUUACAGCCUACAAUAAUCAACCUCUUAAUCUUCUGAUGAUUACUGCUUUCACCUGGGGCUUUAACCUUUAACCUCAGAUUUAUAACGAGAUCCUGAGGGUUCGGUUUCUGUGUUCCCGUGCGCUCGCUUGCUAAAGAAUGAAAGUAAACUAAUAUCAAGAAUGCUCGGGUCAGUGAAUCACUAUGAAAGACGAUCUGAAAGACCCACACCUCAUCGCUUGUACAUCCUCCCAAGCGCACUUUUGAACUUUUCCUGCUUCUGACACAUCAUUUGAUGACUACAGAAAAAGAAAAGGAGUGACUGUCAGUAGGGUGCUGCUAAUUUAAAUGUGAAGAGGAUCAUCCCUUUUUUUCCACAAUCCCAUUUUCAAUCAGUUAUUCUUGAUUGCAUUAGGGGUCAUGGGUUAAAAGGGGAAGGAUGGGGAGAGACUCUGCAGUUAUUUGGAGAUUAAAAGCCAUAAUAAUCGUUAGAACGAGCAGAGGAACAGACAAGACUCUGAUUGUCGCCCCCUUGUGCCAAGGAAGCUGCAUAGCAAUCUACAGAACAAACAGCCAACAAGCCAACUGUCCGGAAUUGGGACCAAUCACGUUUCAUUUUAGCCAGAACUGCUAAUCAUCCAAAAAUAUCAAUUUAUAUAACACUAGAGUUGGUUUUCUGGACCGGCUCAACUGAAACGGAUUUGAAUCAGGUUUCGCCUGAAAAAUAAAUAAUAACUAAUGAAAAAAAGCAGCUGAAAAGAAUCUGAAGAUCCCCAUCCUGACUAAAAUCCACUCACGUCAAACCGAGUCGACGACACACUCUUUCAUCAAACGCCUCACCUCAGACUCACCCCGUCACACACUGGCAGGACCGCUAGCAAUAUAUGUGUCUGAGUGAGUGUGCAUGUGCGUGUGUCUGUGUAUAUCACAAUCCUGUUCUAAUUACUCUGACUACACUUCAUGUCACUAUCUAUGAGCGUCUGCUGUUGGGUUCAUGAACUUUCUAAUUUAACAGAGAGACGGAUUAUCUCAUUUUUGAAUAAGUUCAUUAGCAAAGAUGCAGUCAGUUUAGCUACGUUUAAACCAGGCAGGCUCACGGUUACGUCUAGGUGGUUAUUCUUGAACUGUCAUGUUUCUAUGUGUUUCAGUGCCAGUGUGCUGUGGGGUUGAUGAAAAUAACCAGAAAUUAAAAUUCCCCAUACAGGGGUUGCCAUGCGGCGUGCAGAGAGAGAAUCUAACCUCAGCGUUUCCGGCCUAGAAAAUACACCAG